This 683-nucleotide ribosomal RNA is filed under the name uncultured bacterium. Its description in RNAcentral is "bacterial SSU rRNA". It matches the Rfam family "Bacterial small subunit ribosomal RNA", at positions 11 to 681 of the family's 1533-position model. The record is from RNAcentral.
GUUUGAUCCUGGCUCAGGAUGAACGCUAGCUACAGGCUUAACACAUGCAAGUCGAGGGGAAACGAUAUUGAAAGCUUGCUUUCGAUAGGCGUCGACCGGCGCACGGGUGAGUAACGCGUAUCCAACCUGCCCAUAACUAAGGGAUAAUCCGUAGAAAUGCGGUCUAAUACCUUAUGUGUUCCGAGGAAGACAUCUGAUUUGGAUUAAAGAUUUAUCGGUUAUGGAUGGGGAUGCGUCUGAUUAGAUUGUUGGCGGGGCAACGGCCCACCAAGUCUGCGAUCAGUAGGGGUUCUGAGAGGAAGGUCCCCCACAUUGGAACUGAGACACGGUCCAAACUCCUACGGGAGGCAGCAGUGAGGAAUAUUGGUCAAUGGGCGAGAGUCUGAACCAGCCAAGUAGCGUGAAGGAUGACUGCCCUCUGGGUUGUAAACUUCUUUUAUAUGGGAAUAAAGUAUUCCACGUGUGGGAUUUUGUAUGUACCAUAUGAAUAAGGAUCGGCUAACUCCGUGCCAGCAGCCGCGGUAAUACGGAGGAUCCGAGCGUUAUCCGGAUUUAUUGGGUUUAAAGGGAGCGUAGGUGGAUUGUUAAGUCAGUUGUGAAAGUUUGCGGCUCAACCGUAAAAUUGCAGUUGAAACUGGNAGUCUUGAGUACAGUAGAGGUGGGCGGAAUUCGUGGUGUAGCGG